GGUCAAGUGACUAAGUGCAUGUGGUGGAUGCCUUGGCGAUUACAGGCGACGAAGGACGUGAUAGCCUGCGAUAAGCUUCGGGGAGCUGGCAAAUUAGCUUUGAUCCGGAGAUUUCCGAAUGGGGAAACCCACCCUUAGGGGUAUCGCAUGAUGAAUACAUAGUCAUGCGAGGCGAACCGGGUGAACUGAAACAUCUCAGUAGCUCGAGGAAUAGACAUCAACCGAGAUUCCGAAAGUAGCGGCGAGCGAAAUCGGAACAGCCUUGUACUCUUUAGCAAUCGACAUAUCAGAACGGAAUGGAAAGUCCGGCCAUAGCGGGUGAUAGCCCCGUAUGAAAAAUGACUUUUGUGGAACUAGGUGUACGACAAGUAGGGCGGGACACGUGACAUCCUGUCUGAAGAUGGGGGGACCAUCCUCCAAGGCUAAAUACUCGUAAUCGACCGAUAGUGAACUAGUACCGUGAGGGAAAGGCGAAAAGAACCCCGGGAGGGGAGUGAAAUAGAUCCUGAAACCGCAUGCAUACAAACAGUCGGAGCCUCCUUGUGGGGUGACGGCGUACCUUUUGUAUAAUGGGUCAGCGACUUACAUUCAGUGGCAAGGUUAACCGAAUAGGGAAGCCGUAGAGAAAUCGAGUCCGAAUAGGGCGUUCAGUCGCUGGGUGUAGACCCGAAACCAAGUGAUCUAUCCAUGGCCAGGAUGAAGGUGAGGUAACACUUACUGGAGGUCCGAACCGACUAAUGUUGCAAAAUUAGCGGAUGAGCUGUGGAUAGGGGUGAAAGGCUAAACAAACUUGGAAAUAGCUGGUUCUCUCCGAAAACUAUUUAGGUAGUGCCUCAAGUAUUACCAUCGGGGGUAGAGCACUGUUAUGGCUAGGGGGUCAUGGCGACUUACCAAACCAUUGCAAACUCCGAAUACCGAUGAGUACAGCUUGGGAGACAGUGCACCGGGUGCUAACGUCCGGACACAAGAGGGAAACAACCCAGACCGCCAGCUAAGGUCCCCAAAAUUGGCUAAGUGGGAAACGAAGUGGGAAGGCUAAAACAGUCAGGAUGUUGGCUUAGAAGCAGCCAUCAUUUAAAGAAAGCGUAAUAGCUCACUGAUCGAGUCGUCCUGCGCGGAAGAUGUAACGGGGCUAAGCCAGUUACCGAAGCUGCGGAUGUGCGCGCAAGCGUACGUGGUAGGAGAGCGUUCUGUACGCCUGUGAAGGUGGCUUGUGAAGGCUGCUGGAGGUAUCAGAAGUGCGAAUGCUGACAUGAGUAGCGUUAAAGGGGGUGAAAAGCCCCCUCGCCGAAAGCGCAAGGUUUCCUACGCAACGUUCAUCGGCGUAGGGUGAGUCGGCCCCUAAGGCGAGGCAGAGAUGCGUAGCUGAUGGGAAACAGGUCAAUAUUCCUGUACCGAUAUGUAGUGCGAUGUGGGGACGGAGAAGGUUAACUCAGCCGGGUGUUGGAUGUCCCGGUUCAAGCGUGUAGUCAUACCCUUUAGGCAAAUCCGGAGGGUUUAGAUGAGGCGUGAUAACGAGGAGGCUUGCCUCUGAAGUGAGUGAUACCCUGCUUCCAGGAAAAGCCACUAAGCUUCAGCUACAUACGACCGUACCGCAAACCGACACUGGUGCGCGAGAUGAGUAUUCUAAGGCGCUUGAGAGAACUCUGGAGAAGGAACUCGGCAAAUUGACACCGUAACUUCGGAAGAAGGUGUGCCUUUAGUAGGUGAUCCAUUUACUUGGUGAGCCCAAUGAGGCCGCAGAGAAUCGGUGGCUGCAACUGUUUAUUAAAAACACAGCACUCUGCAAAGACGAAAGUCGACGUAUAGGGUGUGACGCCUGCCCGGUGCUGGAAGAUUAAAUGAUGGGGUGCAAGCUCUUGACUGAAGUCCCAGUAAACGGCGGCCGUAACUAUAACGGUCCUAAGGUAGCGAAAUUCCUUGUCGGGUAAGUUCCGACCUGCACGAAUGGCGUAAUGAUGGCCACACUGUCUCCUCCAGAGACUCAGCGAAGUUGAAAUGUUUGUGAUGAUGCAAUCUCCCCGCGGAAAGACGGAAAGACCCCAUGAACCUUUACUGUAGCUUUACAUUGGACUUUGAACAGAUCUGUGUAGGAUAGGUGGGAGGCUUUGAAGCGGUGCCGCUAGGUGUCGUGGAGCCAACGUUGAAAUACCACCCUGGUGUGUUUGAGGUUCUAACCUUGGCCCGUUAUCCGGGUUGGGGACAGUGUAUGGUGGGCAGUUUGACUGGGGCGGUCUCCUCCCAAAGCGUAACGGAGGAGUUCGAAGGUACGCUAGCCACGGUCGGAAAUCGUGGUGAUAGUGCAUUGGCAUAAGCGUGCUUGACUGCGAGACUGACAAGUCGAGCAGGUACGAAAGUAGGACAAAGUGAUCCGGUGGUUCUGUAUGGAAGGGCCAUCGCUCAACGGAUAAAAGGUACUCUGGGGAUAACAGGCUGAUACCGCCCAAGAGUUCAUAUCGACGGCGGUGUUUGGCACCUCGAUGUCGGCUCAUCUCAUCCUGGGGCUGUAGCCGGUCCCAAGGGUAUGGCUGUUCGCCAUUUAAAGAGGUACGUGAGCUGGGUUUAAAACGUCGUGAGACAGUUUGGUCCCUAUCUUCCGUGGGCGCUGCAAGAUUGAGAGAGCCUGCUCCUAGUACGAGAGGACCGGAGUGGACGCACCUCUGGUGUAUCGGUUGUCACGCCAGUGGCAUUGCCGAGUAGCUAAGUGCGGAAGAGAUAACCGCUGAAAGCAUCUAAGCGGGAAACUCGUCUCAAGAUGAGUCUUGCCGGGGCCUUGAGCCCCCUGAAGGGUCGUUCGAGACCAGGACGUUGAUAGGCUGGGUGUGGAAGCGCAGUAAUGCGUUAAGCUAACCAGUACUAAUUGCCCGUGAGGCUUGACCCU
Molecule: ribosomal RNA, 2881 nt
Organism: Rhizobacter sp. Root404
Lineage: Bacteria; Pseudomonadati; Pseudomonadota; Betaproteobacteria; Burkholderiales; Sphaerotilaceae
Rfam family: Bacterial large subunit ribosomal RNA
Source: Rfam